Andrographis paniculata is the source of this 681-nucleotide long non-coding RNA. RefSeq lists it as uncharacterized. Lineage: Eukaryota; Viridiplantae; Streptophyta; Magnoliopsida; Lamiales; Acanthaceae. The record is from RefSeq and is a predicted model, not a curated record. The transcript is spliced from 3 exons.
ACCUUUAUUGUUAGAAUUUUACUAAAAUAAAAUAGGCAUAGCAAAACGACAGCGUUUCGGCCAUCUCACGUAUUUUUAGUCUCCUGCUGUCUCAUUUCUCCCUGUUGUUGCAGUCGCAUGUACCGGAUCGAUCUUGUCUCCGUGGAAUUCGGUUGCUGAAGUAGCUUAAAAUGGGAGCUAAAUAUGUUCUUCCGGCUUUAGGGGGAUCCCUUGCUAUUGCAUAUGUUUGUGACUAUCUGCUCGCCGAGCAGAAGAUCUUUGGAGGCACUACUCCUAAAACGGUCUCGAGCAAAGAAUGGUGGGUAGAAACUGACAAGAAGUUCCAAGCAUGGCCUCGCACCGCAGGCCCCCCUGUGGUCAUGAAUCCCAUUUCCCGUCAGAACUUCAUAGUCAAGUCCAGCAUCGAUCAAUAAAAUUUUGAAUUGCUUCUUUAAGCAUCAAAAAGCUUAUGUUUACAAACCUGUCUUAUACAUUGCCGGGAUUGGAUCUUCAUUGUUUGGUUUAGUGCCCCCCAGAUUUGAUCUAUUCUCGAUAUGAAUAAUGGCCAAGUGCUCUAAUCCUUGCCGGACUUGAGAUUUCUAUUUUCGGACUGAGUUUAUUUAUGUUGUUCAUCUUUUGGCUUAAAUUUGUUUGUGUUUGCAUUACCAUUGUUCAUGGAAAAACAGGUCUACUUCCUUGUCA